This 102-nucleotide non-coding RNA is filed under the name Nicotiana sylvestris (wood tobacco). RNAcentral's name for it is "Antisense RNA which regulates isiA expression". It matches the Rfam family "Antisense RNA which regulates isiA expression", at positions 1 to 102 of the family's 187-position model. The record is from Rfam by way of RNAcentral. Lineage: Eukaryota; Viridiplantae; Streptophyta; Magnoliopsida; Solanales; Solanaceae.
AAUAACCAAAUAUGAUACUCGGGCUAAGGGUCAAGUUGGUAAUUUUUCUUACAUCUCCCCCUCUCGGAGCCCAGGUAUCAUAUACGCCCCCAANGCCCAAUA